This is a long non-coding RNA of Dioscorea cayenensis subsp. rotundata (Guinea yam), 626 nucleotides long. RefSeq lists it as uncharacterized. NCBI's taxonomy places the organism in Eukaryota, Viridiplantae, Streptophyta, Magnoliopsida, Dioscoreales, Dioscoreaceae. The record is from RefSeq and is a predicted model, not a curated record. The transcript is spliced from 2 exons.
CUUAUGUCUUCUGGGUUCUCUGAAUCCUUCUCUUUCGCUCUCUUCUCUUCCUCUUCUCGUCCCCGCUCGCAAAGAGGAUCCGUUUCAGCCUCUAUGCCCUUCCAUUCCUCAUGGGCUGGUUACAGAUUAAAAUCCUUCGGAUUUCUUCAUUUUAUAGAUAUCAUUUUGAAACCCUAGAAAAAAAAACCUUUUUUUUUUUUGAGGAAAAAAAGGGAGAGAAAAACAAAAUGCCAGGUCCGCAGCGGCAGCUGGUGAAUCAGAAUCGGAUGCGGAGGAAGUGGGGAAAAAGUCCGGAUCCGAAACUGAGAGCCCGACCCGAAUCCGAACGGUAGCUCCGAAAGCUCAGCGUCGUCUUCUCCGACCCCGACGCUACGGAUUCAUCCAGCGACGAGGAUGAACCCGAAUACGAAACCCGGAAGUACAAAAAUUUCUUGGGUUUAGGGAGUACAAAAAUUAGUUAAAUUAUUAUUAAUAUUAUGUCUCAAUUUAUGUCAUAGUGUUUGGUUGUUCGCAUUGGCAUGUAAGAAAUUUCUUGGGUUUUUCCGGGGUUUAAGCACCGUCCAAGAAGUUUUAUGAAUCUUGUUGGUUUGUUUGUUUAAAGUCAAUUCUAAGAUUGGUUAUUUUAA